AAGUCGUAACAAGGUUUCCGUAGGUGAACCUGCGGAAGGAUCAUUAACACGUAUCCAACGUUAAACCCCCCCGUGAACGUACAACAUUCCUUCUCGGCUUACAGAAAUAUUGGUUGCAAUCCCUGGUAAAUCAUCGCCGAACAGUUUUCGAUUCAGGGACGUCUGCAAGGAGCGUGCAUGUUGUGCGAAGCAAGUGGCCUGGCAUCCCCAAGCAGUUAGUGUCUGAAAGUGUCAUUAACUGUGUAAGGAUGACGCAGUCACGAUCGUUGGAGGCCCACACGGCCGACGACCGGGUCACUGGGCGCAAGCCCCCCUAUAACAAACGCUGCCAAUCGCGGCCGCGAUAAUACGCAGUCGACAAAAAACCGAACAACUGUUAACAAUGGAUAUCUUGGUUCUC
Molecule: unclassified non-coding RNA, 400 nt
Filed under: fungal sp.
Lineage: Eukaryota; Fungi
Description: partial internal transcribed spacer region
Rfam family: Eukaryotic small subunit ribosomal RNA (bases 1-46)
Source: RNAcentral